AAACCAGCACCUCAAGUGGUCAGGAUGAUUAUUGGGCCUAAAGCAUCCGUAGCCUGCUUUGUCAGUUUUCGGUUAAAUCCAUACGCUCAACGUAUGGGCUGCCGGAAAUACUGCAAAGCUAGGGAGUGGGAGAGGUAGACGGUACUCGGGAGGAAGGGGUAAAAUCCUUUGAUCUCUCGAUGACCACCUGUGGCGAAGGCGGUCUACCAGAACACGUCCGACGGUGAGGGAUGAAAGCUGGGGGAGCAAACCGGAUUAGAUACCCGAGUAGUCC
Molecule: ribosomal RNA, 274 nt
Filed under: uncultured bacterium
Lineage: Bacteria
Description: partial 16S ribosomal RNA
Rfam family: Archaeal small subunit ribosomal RNA
Source: RNAcentral